RNAcentral lists this ribosomal RNA (497 nucleotides) under uncultured bacterium. RNAcentral describes it as "partial 16S ribosomal RNA". It matches the Rfam family "Bacterial small subunit ribosomal RNA", at positions 28 to 507 of the family's 1533-position model. The record is from RNAcentral.
GACGAACGCUGGCGGCGUGCCUAAUACAUGCAAGUUGAGCGAUGAAGAUUGGUGCUUGCACCAAUUUGAAGAGCGGCGAACGGGUGAGUAACGCGUGGGGAAUCUGCCUUUGAGCGGGGGACAACAUUUGGAAACGAAUGCUAAUACCGCAUAAUAACUUUAAACAUAAGUUUUAAGUUUGAAAGAUGCAAUUGCAUCACUCAAAGAUGAUCCCGCGUUGUAUUAGCUAGUUGGUGAGGUAAAGGCUCACCAAGGCGAUGAUACAUAGCCGACCUGAGAGGGUGAUCGGCCACAUUGGGACUGAGACACGGCCCAAACUCCUACGGGAGGCAGCAGUAGGGAAUCUUCGGCAAUGGACGAAAGUCUGACCGAGCAACGCCGCGUGAGUGAAGAAGGGUUUCGGAUCGUAAAACUCUGUUGGUAGAGAAGAACGUUGGUGAGAGUGGAAAGCUCAUCAAGUGACGGUAACUACCCAGAAAGGGACGGCUAACUACGUG